AAUCCGUGGUGCGGGCAUUUUUGAAUCAACAUUUUGAAAUGUUCCCACACCUCAUAAAAUUUUCUCCCUCCAUUUGUCUAAAGACAACAAUCUCUCUUCUUAGUUG
This 106-nucleotide small nucleolar RNA is filed under the name Gossypium hirsutum (cotton). RNAcentral's name for it is "Plant small nucleolar RNA R71". It matches the Rfam family "Plant small nucleolar RNA R71". Rfam says of the family: R71 is a member of the C/D box family of snoRNAs containing the C (UGAUGA) and D (CUGA) box motifs. Multiple nearly identical copies of this snoRNA have been identified in Arabidopsis, and it is thought to function as a 2'-O-ribose methylation guide for 18S ribosomal RNA. Lineage: Eukaryota; Viridiplantae; Streptophyta; Magnoliopsida; Malvales; Malvaceae. The record is from Rfam by way of RNAcentral.